AAUAAGUUAAUUAAGAGCGUAAGGUGGAUGCCUUGGCUCUCAGAGGCGAUGAAGGACGUGAUAAGCUGCGAUAAGCUACGGGGAUUGGCACACACAAUUUGAUCCGUAGAUUUCCGAAUGGGGAAACCCACUAUAUUGAAGAUAUAGUAUCCGUUAAGGAAGCAAACCCAGGGAACUGAAACAUCUAAGUACCUGGAGGAAUAGAAAACAAAAGUGAUUCCGCUAGUAGUGGCGAGCGAACGCGGAACAGCCCAAACCAAAAUUGUUUCGGCAAUUUUGGGGUUGUAGGACCACGAUAUUGAAUGUUUAAUGAAUUAGAAUUCUUUGGAAAAAG
Molecule: ribosomal RNA, 334 nt
Filed under: uncultured Flavobacteriaceae bacterium
Lineage: Bacteria; Pseudomonadati; Bacteroidota; Flavobacteriia; Flavobacteriales; Flavobacteriaceae
Description: bacterial LSU rRNA
Rfam family: Bacterial large subunit ribosomal RNA
Source: RNAcentral